ACUACGGGAGGCAGCAGUGGGGAAUAUUGGACAAUGGGGGGAACCCUGAUCCAGCGACGCCGCGUGAGUGAAGAAGUAUUUCGGUAUGUAAAGCUCUAUCAGCAGGGAAGAAAGAAAUGACGGUACCUGAAGAAGAAGCCCCGUCUAACUACGUGCCAGCAGCCGCGGUAAUACGUAGGGGGCAAGCGUUAUCCGGAUUUACUGGGUGUAAAGGGGGCGCAGACGGCGAUGCAAGCCAGGAGUGAAAGCCCGGGGCCCAACCCCGGGACUGAUCUUGGAACUGCGUGGCUAGAGUGCAGGAGGGGCAGGCGGAAUUCCUGGUGUAGCGGUGAAAUGCGUAGAUAUCAGGAGGAACACCGGUGGCGAAGGCGGCCUGCUGGACUGCAACUGACGUUGAGGCCCGAAAGCGUGGGGAGCAAACAGGAUUAGAUACCCCAGUAGUC
RNAcentral lists this ribosomal RNA (443 nucleotides) under uncultured bacterium. RNAcentral describes it as "partial 16S ribosomal RNA". It matches the Rfam family "Bacterial small subunit ribosomal RNA", at positions 338 to 795 of the family's 1533-position model. The record is from RNAcentral.